Melopsittacus undulatus (budgerigar) is the source of this 4379-nucleotide long non-coding RNA. RefSeq lists it as uncharacterized. Lineage: Eukaryota; Metazoa; Chordata; Aves; Psittaciformes; Psittaculidae. The record is from RefSeq and is a predicted model, not a curated record. The transcript is spliced from 3 exons.
CUUGGGUCAGGCCGGGUAUCAGUUGGCAGGUGCCUGUUACCAGCUACCUUCAAGAGUUCCUGACUUCUGAGAAACCCAUUCCUGGAUGCCCAACCCUUCCCAGGCAUUUCAGGUAAGAAGUUGGCUGGUAGAACAGAUUCUUCUUUCAGUUUCUCAGGAAAGACAGCAUGCCUCAGCUGCAUGUAGUACAACAUUUGCUGAUGGACCCUUAAAGAAAAUACACUUCAGCUGUUUUAUUAAAUGAGUAAUCCAAAUACUGGGGGAUAAUAUAUAGUAACAGUAACUGUGAAUGCUCAAUUGGAAAAGAAGCAAAUACUACCUACAAUGCAAUUCUAUGUCCUGAAAUAAAGAUGGCAUAGAAGCAAAAUGUACAUCUGCAUGUGCUUAGCUCUAUCAUACAUGAAGUUUGAAAAGAAAAUGGUCUUCUUGUUGCAAUGUUAAUGGCUCAUGAUUUAAAAAUGUGCACACACACAAAUACAUAUACACAUUUGUGAUACUACCUGCCUCCAAGGAACUUCCCUAUCAUAAUUUCGGAGAAAAUAAGUAUCAGUGUCUACAAAGCUAUCUUACUAACUGAAGAAUGUUGAAAUACUAGUUUUGGUUUUAAAAGGGAUUUACAUGAAUUUAUCAAUUCUUUGUAAUAAAGUUGUCUAAAAAAAUAAUUUAGGAUGGCAAUACUCUAACAAAAACUUGUAUUGAAUUCAAUACAUACUUGAUAAAAUUCUUAUCAACUUUGAAUUUAAAAAUAAUAUACCACUACAAACGUAUCUUCCUGUAUUAUAAGUCUGGUUUCCAUACAGAACAAAAUACAACAGCACACCUGGAAUCUCACAGAUUCAUUCUGUAUAAAUACAAACAACAAUUUUGUCAGUGCUGGCAUAAAAAGCAACUCUGUUUCAAAUAUGCUACUACAUGCAACCAAAGUAUUUGCUCAAACCCUAAUCUCAAAAAGUAUUUCAAUUAUUCUACUAAUAUGUAUUUUUCUUUAGUCAAUAACAAACCAUGAUGCUAAAGUAAAUCCUGAAUGCCCACAGGAGUUAAGGGACUUUUUUUCCCCUCUGGAAAGAAAGAUACAAAACAUCUAACAAGAAUAAAACUAGAUUGAAUGAUACAGAGACUGAUUUUAAAAUAUUUAGGCAUUUAAUUAUAGCUGCCUAAUGAGGUUUAUUUCUAUAAUUUACUACUUCCCAUUGAUUUCUACUUGCUUGGGAAUCCAAAUACAUGUAAGCAUCCCACACCUGUUUUAUAAAGAAUACAAAGCAUGAGGAAUAUAAUAAUGAAAAGGGUUUAUAUAUUUCCUGAAUUACUUAUGAUGUAUAAUAUUUAUAACUGAAUACCCGUAAAACAGCUCUAAUAAAAUGGAAUUCCUUCAUUCUUCCAACUGCCAAAUUAUGCAUAGUACGUAAGAGCAAAACCUGUUCAAAUUAACAUAAAUUUUGCCUCUGAUUUAAUUAGAUAUAUUUUAAAUAUCUGGCCAUGCUUUUAGCUAUAUGUAAGCAUAUCCAUAUCUAGAAGUCUUGUCUAUUGCGUAUCUAACAGGAACUUCAGAGAAAUCUUUUCUGCUUACUGAGCAAUCAAACAGCCAAGAGCACGAUACCUCACUAGAUAAACACCUUUGUUGCACAAGUUCAAAUCGAAGCAACACUGAUACCGGCUUUUAACAGUAAAGGAUUUUAUCUUUCUGUUGUAAAGCAUAUUAGUUUAGUCAGUAUAUCGCUAUGAGUCAAUAUUUCCAACCUCUGACAUUUGAGUCAAUAUAAUAGUAUUUUACAUUUUAUUGUCUCGGAACACUAUUGUUCUUUCCUUUCACAAUUACAACUUCAGUUUUAUAUGUACCAUUUGAGGACUGCUUUUGAUGGAAAACCUUUAACUUGGCUUAUAUGAACUGAAAGUUUAUACUCAGCGGUAUUACCAUUACUACACAACCAACUACAGUUUCCACAAUGGAAACGUCUCCUUACUCUUACUGAAACAUAAUUCUUUUUGUUGUUGUUGCUUAGUUUUUAGUUUCUUGAUGGGGUUUUCUGAAUAUAAUUUCGAAUAAUGCCAAAUAAUGGUAUCUUAAGCUGUAAAGCAUCAAGUCACAAACAAAUUUACAUGCCUUUGCAUCUAACAGAUAAUAGAAGUUUUAAGCAUAUCCAAUGGGCAAUAUUAAUAAUUUUGGUUUGCCCUUUUUUCUUGCUUAAUUAACUUUGUAGCAGUAAAUGAGAUUCACAAUGUUCUACUACCACACAAUUUGUUUAAUAUGGACUUAUUACUUAUUUAAAUAGAAUUAUCUUUCUUAUUCUAAAAUAAAAUGCUGACACCAUCCAAAGGAUUACACUAGUGAGUAAAGGGGAAAAUUCAUAAUCAUAGUUAGGAUGUACUGCAUGUAAUUAGGUUAAUAAUUUGCAGCCCAUAGUGAAUAUUGCCUUGUGACAGCACAAGAUCACUGCAUAGCAAAUGACAGUGGCAGAUAUAAGUGGAUCUUGAGUGCUCGCAGGAAUGGGAGCUUCUCCCAUAAAACUUUCAUGAGUCUUAAGCAGAGGCCCACAAAGGCUACAAUAAAACCUGGUUUCACACAAUUUUUGAGUGGCUUUUUACCUCCUAUCCAGUCUUUAGAAUGCUGCUCCGUUCAACUAAGAGGGACAGUCACCUCAGAAUUCAGGGCAGAACUGCAUCAAUACUGAGUCAACUACAGGACUUUUCUUUAGAGUGGGAGAAAACAAGAUGACAAAGCAAGCCUCCAGGUAGAACCAGAUACCAUAGUGUACUGGUGCUUUAUUGUUACUAUGAUGGUCUAAUUUUAAAAGUGCUGCACAUGAAUUCUUCAUAGUUAGAACUUACAAGUCCAACAACAGGAGAUUUUUCUCCUAUACUCACUAAGAAGUUUUGCCAAACAAGAACACUUUUGAAAACCACAGCCAUGUUCAUUUCAGCAAAAAGUUACCUCCCUACAACCAUAUUUCAACCUUUUCCUCUUUCGGAGUAUUUUCUGAGUAUAGUGGCUAUCCUGACAUUAUUUUACCUAGCUUCUCCAGGGGUACUAUAGCAAGCAUAACGCAGAAAAGCUAUAUACCCUGUCUACUGAAACCAGCCGACUCUCCUGAACAAAGCAGCAGAACUUUUUCUUCCGGUUGUAAAAUUACCAUCCAAUCAAGAUUCUGCUGCAGCUGCCAGGUACGCAUUAAUUUCUGCCUUAGGUGCUCCAAAGGUAACCGCUUGCUCGCCCAUCAGCGGGGCUGGCGAAGUGUUACUUCCUGGAAAGCCAUUGAUCUGGCUGGCGGUACCCAAGCGUAAAGGCCGGAGGGAGGGAAACCUGGAGAGCUUUCUGGCGGGGGCAGGACGUUCCCGGCCCAAUUCCAGAUGCCUUUCUCCCUCCACCUCUACCCCAAACACCUAAGGGAGCCCCUCGGCCCGCUGGGCAGCUCUCGCCUACUGCCCCACGUCUCCUCGUUACCGUUAUCCCGUGUUUUCAAACCUGACAGAAGGGAGAACGGUUAAACCCCUCGAGGCACACUGCGUCCCACCCCUCCCCAACACGUCGCGACGGUCAACUGCUCCCCCUGACAGGACGUGCUCGGCCGCAAGGCCUCCGCGCCGGCGGGGCCCCCCUUACCGUCCCCUCCGCCAACGACUGAGGUACCACUGCCUCGGGACGGGUGAAUCUACCUUCAGAUCCCCUGCGGCGAGAGAGGAGCCGCUAUUUCUUAAGGGCGAGGCGUCUCCUGUGUGCGGGGAUGAAGAGAAGCGUUGCCGGGGGGUGCUCCUGGGGAUCUGAGGUGCUCGCUGGUGCCGUACGGUACGGUUCGGUUCGGAGCGAUACCGACCCGUGCGACUGCCCGUGCUCCCGUUGCCAUAGAGACAAGUCCCGCCCUUCUGCGCGUGUUGAUUGGCCCGGCUAGACCCCCAUCCGGGCGUCGCGGAGAGCUCUGAUUGGAUAGCAGCGGACGCGGAGGCGGGGAUUGCGCCACAAGCCGCACUGCCGCCAGCGCCGACAAGGUACGUGGCGGUCGCCGGGGGGCGGGUCCCGGCCGCGCGGCUGUGGCGUCAUGGCGGAGGUGGGGACGCGGGUGCGCACCUGGGCCGCUCGGGGGGGGCUGGUCCGUCUCCGGACGCACCCCAGCGGGUCUCGGUACGGGUCUCGGUACGGGUCUCGGUACGAGUCUCGGUACGGGUCUGCCCAAGCCUUGCUUCCGUGGUGCGCUAGGCCGCUCUCUAAAGCGAUCCGGUUACCGGCCGUGGGUCCUGAGGGGAGCCGCGGCCUGUGGCUGCCGCGGAGGGCCCUGUCUACAAACGGCCCCCGCCUCACGCACACAGACAUCUCCUCCUUCUUUCAGGCUUCCUUUUCCAGGACUGGUCCUUCUUCUCAUCUGCGCCUUACUGAGCUCAGAUUUGGU